RNAcentral lists this ribosomal RNA (496 nucleotides) under uncultured bacterium. Its description in RNAcentral is "partial 16S ribosomal RNA". It matches the Rfam family "Bacterial small subunit ribosomal RNA", at positions 29 to 507 of the family's 1533-position model. The record is from RNAcentral.
AUGAACGCUGGCGGCGUGCCUAAUACAUGCAAGUCGAGCGAACGGACGAGAAGCUUGCUUUUCUGAUGUUAGCGGCGGACGGGUGAGUAACACGUGGAUAACCUACCUAUAAGACUGGGAUAACUUCGGGAAACCGGAGCUAAUACCGGAUAAUAUUUUGAACCGCAUGGUUCAAAAGUGAAAGACGGUCUUGCUGUCACUUAUAGAUGAAUCCGCGCUGCAUUAGCUAGUUGGUAAGGUAACGGCUUACCAAGGCAACGAUGCAUAGCCGACCUGAGAGGGUGAUCGGCCACACUGGAACUGAGACACGGUCCAGACUCCUACGGGAGGCAGCAGUAGGGAAUCUUCCGCAAUGGGCGAAAGCCUGACGGAGCAACGCCGCGUGAGUGAUGAAGGUCUUCGGAUCGUAAAACUCUGUUAUUAGGGAAGAACAUAUGUGUAAGUAACUGUGCACAUCUUGACGGUACCUAAUCAGAAAGCCACGGCUAACUACGUG